This 1083-nucleotide long non-coding RNA is filed under the name Rattus norvegicus (Norway rat). RNAcentral's name for it is "long non-coding RNA NONRATT019762". Lineage: Eukaryota; Metazoa; Chordata; Mammalia; Rodentia; Muridae. The record is from RNAcentral.
AAAAUUUGCAAUGGAACCUAAUUGAUACUUCAUGGCUCCUUUAGAAUCUCUAAAGACAAAAAGUGAGUUAUUGGGGCUAGAGAGAUGCCUCAUUUGCUCUUCCAGAGGACCCAGGGUUAAAGUCCCAGCACUCAUGUGUGGGUUCACACCUGUCUAUAACUCCCGUCCUAAGGGAUCCACCAUCUUCUUUUCCUCCACUGGCACCAGGCAUGUAUGUGGUACACACACAUACAUGCAGACAAAACAUGCAUACACUUAAGAAAAAACUAUAGUGUAUAGAAAAGUGAGUUAUUGCUUUAUUCACAACUGGCCACAGGCAGCCUUGGAAAUAAGGUGUGGAAAUGGCUCUAAUCAGUUCAGCAGAAGAGCAUCUAAACACUGAGAGCCUCUGUGCUCUGCCUCCCUAGUUCAGUUUCCUGAUGUGACUAUUUAAAGUGAGAGCCAUGUGGUAUCUUACAGGACACUGUUUUACCUUUCAUCAAGGUUGCCUAACACAUCUCCAUGAAGAAGUGUUGGGUUGUUAAAGUACUGUUUGUAUUACUUUGUUGUUUCUUUAAAAGUCACUUAUUUGCUUUUACUGAAGUUAAAUGCUGGGGCAGGCAUCAUGAACACUUGUAAUUCUGUGGUAUCUAGGUAUUAAGUGUAGCAGAGAAUAAUAAAAAAGGAUUUAGCUUCCUACACGGGUGGGCCAUAUGGCACCAGCAAGGUGUUCUCUCGGUAGACCUCUAACCCUUUGUUCUCAAAAUGUUUCCACCCGACUAGCUAAGUUCCCGUGCAGGUUGGUACCAUGCCAGCCCCACACAUCCAAAUUCCAAGACCUUUCUCUUGAACUCAGUUGAGUUGUCUCAUGAAGGAAAACACCACACAAACUUAGUUUAGAAUUAACCUGUAACUCAAUCGCUGGGCGCCAACUACUAACAUCCUAAUUAGUAAGCCAUACUAAGUUAAAUCCUCCUGAGUUUGAGGCCAGCCUGGGCUACCUAGUUAAUUCCAGGCCAGCCCUUGGUUACAAUGUGAGACUCCAUCUCAAAAAACAAACAAACCAACCAACCACAAGAAGAAGAAGAAAAAAAAAAAAAAAAA